This 30-nucleotide non-coding RNA is filed under the name Mus musculus (house mouse). The record is from RNAcentral. Lineage: Eukaryota; Metazoa; Chordata; Mammalia; Rodentia; Muridae.
UAGGACGGGAGUCUGUGAACUGUUUGUAGA